RNAcentral lists this ribosomal RNA (253 nucleotides) under uncultured bacterium. RNAcentral's name for it is "partial 16S ribosomal RNA". It matches the Rfam family "Bacterial small subunit ribosomal RNA", at positions 524 to 776 of the family's 1533-position model. The record is from RNAcentral.
UACGUAGGGCGCAAGCGUUAUCCGGAAUUACUGGGCGUAAAGAGCUCGUAGGUGGUUUGUCGCGUUGUCCGUGAAAACUCACAACUCAAUUGUGGGCGUGCGGGCGAUACGGGCAGACUGGAGUACUGCAGGGGAGACUGGAAUUCCUGGUGUAGCGGUGGAAUGCGCAGAUAUCAGGAGGAACACCGGUGGCGAAGGCGGGUCUCUGGGCAGUAACUGACGCUGAGGAGCGAAAGCAUGGGGAGCGAACAGG